Long non-coding RNA from Vespula pensylvanica (western yellowjacket), 297 nucleotides. RefSeq lists it as uncharacterized. The transcript is spliced from 2 exons. NCBI's taxonomy places the organism in Eukaryota, Metazoa, Arthropoda, Insecta, Hymenoptera, Vespidae. The record is from RefSeq and is a predicted model, not a curated record.
UAUAUAUAUAUAUAUGUAUAUAUAUAUAUAUAUAUAAUUAAUUAAAAAAAAUCCGUGUAUGUGUACGUGUUGCAUCAAAGAUGAAUUAAUUAAUUUCUGUUUACGCGUGUACGUUUUUUUGUAUUAAUGUCGAGAAUGAUAUUCGAUGAGACGCAACGAACAAUUCAUUUAAUUUAUUUCGAAACUUGAAAAUAUCGUGGAUCACUUUGUCGAGACAUAUUUGCACUCUGUUUAAUUAUUAUUGCAUCCCAAAAAAAUUAUGACAGUUCAAAAAAAAAAUAUAUAUAUAUAUACAUA